GAUGAACGCUAGCGGCAGGCUUAACACAUGCAAGUCGAGGGGCAACACGGGUAGCAAUACCUGGUGGCGACCGGCGCAAGGGUGCGUAACGCGUGAGCAACAUGCCCUAUACAGGGGGAUAAUCCAGGGAAACUUGGUCUAAUAUCCCAUAGUAUUUAGAGGUGGCAUCACCACUAAAUUAAAGCUUCGGUGGUAUAGGAUUGGCUCGCGUGACAUUAGCUUGAUGGUGGGGUAACGGCUCACCAUGGCGAUGAUGUCUAGGGGUUCUGAGAGGAAGACCCCCCACACUGGGACUGAGACACGGCCCAGACUCCUACGGGAGGCAGCAGUGAGGAAUAUUGGACAAUGGAUGGAAAUCUGAUCCAGCCAUGCCGCGUGCAGGAAGACGGCCCUAUGGGUUGUAAACUGCUUUUAUAUGGGAGCAAUAAGGUUUACGCGUAGACCGAUGAGAGUACCAUAUGAAUAAGCAUCGGCUAACU
RNAcentral lists this ribosomal RNA (479 nucleotides) under uncultured bacterium. Its description in RNAcentral is "bacterial SSU rRNA". It matches the Rfam family "Bacterial small subunit ribosomal RNA", at positions 28 to 502 of the family's 1533-position model. The record is from RNAcentral.